GGAAAGUAAUGAUUAAUAGUGAUAUUAAAUUACCCAUUACUUUUGUUUUGUCCCCUAUUUUUGGAAUCCUAACUCUGGUUAAUAUAUCUCUCAUGUCAUCAUUAAUAAUCCUGAUCCUAAGACCAUUUGGUUUACAUUAACAUUGUGAUAGCUAAAGCUAUUUAAAUAUAUUUAGUAAAGUAAAAAUAUUUAAUAAAGUAUUUAAAUAUAUUUAGUAAAUAAAUAUUAUGGCAACCUCAGUUUCAUUUAGUGGUUGUGAUAAAGAAGAUGGCAUACUAAGGGCGUAUUUGCCUGUUUUGAAUUUAUUUCAUCUGCUUAAAGCAACAGACAAUGCUGAUUAUGCAAGCUAUGAUUGUUUUGCUUCAUGCAUCUUCACUGCAAAUGUCAGCUUCGUGAUAAGCAGAAGCAGUCCAUAGACACACAGCCCUUUAUUAAAUACCUAUUCUAAUUAUAUGACACAGUCAUAAAUGAUAGAAUAUUAUAUGUAUUAUGUAUUAUAAUACAUAAUUGUUUUAAUUCUUAUAUAUUUGUUUUAAUUUUUUUUGUGCAUCUUUCAGCGAAUAGAAAUGGGAAAGUUUCAAAUAUAUUUAGGUGGAAAUAUGGAAUUGUUUUGUUUGAAGUUUUUACGCUAGAAGUACGCUUUAUCCUACAAUAAGUAAUCGUGGGCUACUGGAGUUUUUAAAGUCUGGUUGCAGGAUGGAUCGACCAGAAAAUUGUUCUCAACCUAUGUAUGAUAUAAUGGUACAGUGUUGGAGUGACGAUCCUUUACAGCAACCCACUUUUACAGAGUUAUGUAAGCUUUUUGACGGAAUAAUUGCUGGAGGUGACAGUUAUUUGAGUUUUGAUAUUAACGAAGAAAAUAGUUAUUACAAAGUACCCUCAAUUUACAACAAGUCUUUUAAAACAUAUUUUGGAAAAAGAGUUUCUAGAAACAUCGUUUUAAGUUUAAAAUUUGUUUGAAAGAAAGUUAUUCAUGAUAUUUACGAUGUUUGAAAUGUUUGUUUUCUUAAAGUAUUUUUUAAAUUUUAUUUCAA
This is a long non-coding RNA of Hydra vulgaris (swiftwater hydra), 1034 nucleotides long. RefSeq lists it as uncharacterized. The record is from RefSeq and is a predicted model, not a curated record. NCBI's taxonomy places the organism in Eukaryota, Metazoa, Cnidaria, Hydrozoa, Anthoathecata, Hydridae.